This 1319-nucleotide ribosomal RNA is filed under the name Salmonella enterica. Its description in RNAcentral is "partial 23S ribosomal RNA". It matches the Rfam family "Bacterial large subunit ribosomal RNA", at positions 1189 to 2405 of the family's 2925-position model. The record is from RNAcentral. Lineage: Bacteria; Pseudomonadati; Pseudomonadota; Gammaproteobacteria; Enterobacterales; Enterobacteriaceae.
AUGCACCGAAGCUGCGGCAGCGAACGUAUCACCCAAGACAACUUUACGGAGUUGACGAUUGACGGAGCGAAGCGACGUCAAAGCGUUCAUUAAAGUCGAGUUGGCUUAGGGAUACGUUCGUUGGGUAGGGGAGCGUUCUGUAAGCCUGUGAAGGUGUGUCGUGAGGCAUGCUGGAGGUAUCAGAAGUGCGAAUGCUGACAUAAGUAACGAUAAAGCGGGUGAAAAGCCCGCUCGCCGGAAGACCAAGGGUUCCUGUCCAACGUUAAUCGGGGCAGGGUGAGUCGACCCCUAAGGCGAGGCCGAAAGGCGUAGUCGAUGGGAAACGGGUUAAUAUUCCCGUACUUGGUGUUACUGCGAAGGGGGGACGGAGAAGGCUAUGUUGGCCGGGCGACGGUUGUCCCGGUUUAAGCGUGUAGGUGUGUGUUCCAGGUAAAUCCGGUUCACUUUAACACUGAGGCGUGACGACGAGGCACUACGGUGCUGAAGCAACAAAUGCCCUGCUUCCAGGAAAAGCCUCUAAGCAUCAGGUAACAUCAAAUCGUACCCCAAACCGACACAGGUGGUCAGGUAGAGAAUACCAAGGCGCUUGAGAGAACUCGGGUGAAGGAACUAGGCAAAAUGGUGCCGUAACUUCGGGAGAAGGCACGCUGACACGUAGGUGAAGUGAUUUACUCAUGGAGCUGAAGUCAGUCGAAGAUACCAGCUGGCUGCAACUGUUUAUUAAAAACACAGCACUGUGCAAACACGAAAGUGGACGUAUACGGUGUGACGCCUGCCCGGUGCCGGAAGGUUAAUUGAUGGGGUCAGCGCAAGCGAAGCUCCUGAUCGAAGCCCCGGUAAACGGCGGCCGUAACUAUAACGGUCCUAAGGUAGCGAAAUUCCUUGUCGGGUAAGUUCCGACCUGCACGAAUGGCGUAAUGAUGGCCAGGCUGUCUCCACCCGAGACUCAGUGAAAUUGAACUCGCUGUGAAGAUGCAGUGUACCCGCGGCAAGACGGAAAGACCCCGUGAACCUUUACUAUAGCUUGACACUGAACAUUGAGCCUUGAUGUGUAGGAUAGGUGGGAGGCUUUGAAGUGUGGACGCCAGUCUGCAUGGAGCCGACCUUGAAAUACCACCCUUUAAUGUUUGAUGUUCUAACGUGGACCCGUAAUCCGGGUUGCGGACAGUGUCUGGUGGGUAGUUUGACUGGGGCGGUCUCCUCCUAAAGAGUAACGGAGGAGCACGAAGGUUGGCUAAUCCUGGUCGGACAUCAGGAGGUUAGUGCAAUGGCAUAAGCCAGCUUGACUGCGAGCGUGACGGCGCGAGCAGGUGCGAAAG